ACUCAAAUGAAUUGACGGGGACCCGCACAAGUGGUGGAGCGUGUGGUUUAAUUCGAUACUAAGCGAAGAACCUUACCCAGGCUUGACAUCCCGAGAAAGUCCCUGAAAGGGGACCGUGCCGCAAGGAGCUCGGUGACAGGUGUUGCAUGGUUGUCGUCAGCUCGUGCUGUGAAGUGUCCCGUUAAGUCGGUUAACGAGCGCAACCCGCAUCCUAUGUUGUAUUUUUCAUAGGAAACCGCCUCAGUUAAUGGGGAGGAAGGUGCGGAUGACGUCAAAUCAGCAUGGCCCUUACGCCUGGGGCUACACACGCGCUACAAUGGGUAGUAACAAUAGGUUGCCAAGUCGUAAGACGGAGCUAAUCCUCUCAAAUCUACCCUCAGUUCGGAUUGGGGGCUGCAACUCGCCCCCAUGAAGCCGGAAUCACUAGUAACGGCCGGUCAGCCAUACGGCCGUGAAUACGUUCUCGGGUCUUGUACACACCGCCCGU
RNAcentral lists this ribosomal RNA (487 nucleotides) under uncultured bacterium. RNAcentral's name for it is "partial 16S ribosomal RNA". It matches the Rfam family "Bacterial small subunit ribosomal RNA", at positions 899 to 1397 of the family's 1533-position model. The record is from RNAcentral.